GGAAGUUUUGUGCAGAUGGGGUGCAUUUCCUCUGCACCCCAAAAAUGAAGGGAGUUGUUUCCCAACUUUCCUGACAUGUUACCUGGGAAAGAAAGGGGUGAUGAUAAAUGGACACUUCUCUGUAGAUUUUGCAUGGAUCUCAAGGGAGAGUUCUGGAACUGAUCUCAUUCUGUUCUUUUUUUUUUUCUUUUUUACAAAUCAUGUUGAGGAAGAAAUACACAAUGAGCUCUCCAGGUUUGCCUGCAACACUAAUCUCUUCCAGGUGCUGCAAUUCUAAGGUAACAGGGAAACACAGCAGGAAGCUUCUAGGCACUUACUGGGAGGGGGGCAGGAAGAACAUGGAGUCUGGGGAGAAGCAGAGCCAGGCCCUGCUGCCCUGAGUUCUCAGGAGCUCCGCAAACGCUUCUGGGAGCUCCGGCAGCUCCCGGUGUUGGUGUGGGUGGUGGGGGUGAGGUGGGACAGAAGAGCGAGUCUCCCCCAGCCACCUGGGAGCCUCUGGGGCAGGUCCUCCUCCCCGGCCUACACAGGAAGCCUUCCCAGAAUCCUUCGCUACACGCUUUGGACACCCGGCCUUCCCAGAAUUUCUCAUCCCUGCUGCAGUCUUCACUCGGCCUCAGGUACUGUCUUCGGCUUUUCCUGCUCACAGUUUCAGAUACCUUUGGUUUGUCUUAUUUCCCCUUGGCACGUCCCCUCCCUCUCCCCACCCCCACAAAUGGUUCUGAUUCUUGUUUUUAGGCACCGCAACCACAACCAAAGGUAACAAAAUGCUCUUUUGGGGGUGCAUUUCUGGGCACCAGGGAACCAGCCAGCAGGUCUGGUCAGCACAGACUGAGGAGUUAAGUUAGAGGAGUCACAGGAGCGAGAAAGGCUUGUAGGGGGAAGAGAUUGCGCCUCAUAUUUCGAUCUGCGUUAAUUAUUGGCUGUUAAACUGUGGCCUUUUGAGCUCUUUUAAACCCUCUCAGGUUUAAAUUGUUGGGAAGGCAAUCAAUGAAAUAACUGAUUCCAAAGCCAUUAGGGGAAAGUAGUUUAGAAACAGGAUCUUUGCAUGGUGUCAAAACAUCACUGAAUAGGGAGUUCCCAUAGUGGCUCAAUGGUAACGAAACCAACUUUUAUCCAUGAGGAUUUGGGUUCUAUCCCUGGUCUCGCUCAGUGGGUUAAGGAUCCUGUGUUGCUGUGGCUGUGGUGUAGGCCAAUAGAUGCCGCUCCUAUUUGACCUCUAGCCUGGGAAUUUCCAUAUGUCACACCUGCG
Molecule: long non-coding RNA, 1249 nt
Filed under: Sus scrofa (pig)
Lineage: Eukaryota; Metazoa; Chordata; Mammalia; Artiodactyla; Suidae
Description: lncRNA (ENSSSCG00000049625.1, ENSSSCG00035051815.1, ENSSSCG00065040069.1, ENSSSCG00160029051.1)
Source: RNAcentral